Molecule: small RNA, 614 nt
Filed under: Arabidopsis thaliana (thale cress)
Lineage: Eukaryota; Viridiplantae; Streptophyta; Magnoliopsida; Brassicales; Brassicaceae
Description: ATSL054220
Source: RNAcentral
UCAAUUUUAUAUAUUGAUCAAACCAGAAAAUAUUCAAUAAGAUCUUGUGAGUCUUCGUUUUCAUUUUUUUUUUGUUCUAACUAGCAAAUAGAAUGGUACAAAAUUGAAAGUAAAAUAGAAAACUAUAGUUCGGUUCUGUUUUAAUUAAGUUAAAGUAGAAAAAAAAGAUGAGAGGCGAGAGAGGUGAAACAAGCAAUGGAAGAGAGGAAGAAGUGAUUAAGGUGGUGGUGGUGUGUAUGGUGUAGGUCGUAGUAAUAUUUGUGUUGGUGGUUGCAGUGGUCGUGUGUCAAUUGCGGCGGCAAUAAUGGUGAUGAUGGUAGAGAUGACAGCGUAAUGGUAGUUUCUAUGGUGGUGACGAUUGCAGUGGUGAUGGUGAUGAUGGUAUGACAUUUGUGGAAAUAGUGGUGGAUGCAAUGAUGAUGACGGUUACAAGGGUAAUGGUUGUAAUAGCAUAGAAGAGAUGGUGAUUGUAUAGUUAAGGGUACUUUAGUAUAUAUUAUAGUUUAUAUACAAAAUGUCUCUGUUUUUUUUGUUGGUUAGUUUCUUAAUUAUAGUUUUUUUGUUAGUCAAUUUUGCAAAUUUCCCUUUUAAGAAUAAUGAUAUAUAUAAAAAAA